Molecule: non-coding RNA, 28 nt
Filed under: Rattus norvegicus (Norway rat)
Lineage: Eukaryota; Metazoa; Chordata; Mammalia; Rodentia; Muridae
Source: RNAcentral
UGGGAUUAAGGGCAUGGGCGACCACAGC